Molecule: ribosomal RNA, 301 nt
Filed under: uncultured bacterium
Lineage: Bacteria
Description: partial 16S ribosomal RNA
Rfam family: Bacterial small subunit ribosomal RNA
Source: RNAcentral
CAGCAGCGCGGGAAUACGUAGGGUGCAAGCGUUAAUCGGAAUUACUGGGCGUAAAGCGUGCGCAGGCGGUUAUAUAAGACAGAUGUGAAAUCCCCGGGCUCAACCUGGGAACUGCAUUUGUGACUGUAUAGCUAGAGUACGGCAGAGGGGGAUGGAAUUCCGCGUGUAGCAGUGAAAUGCGUAGAUAUGCGGAGGAACACCGAUGGCGAAGGCAAUCCCCUGGGCCUGUACUGACGCUCAUGCACGAAAGCGUGGGGAGCAAACAGGAUUAGAUACCCCGGUAGUCCCUGUCUCUUAUACA